This 828-nucleotide ribosomal RNA is filed under the name uncultured Methanocalculus sp. RNAcentral's name for it is "bacterial SSU rRNA". It matches the Rfam family "Archaeal small subunit ribosomal RNA", at positions 102 to 936 of the family's 1478-position model. The record is from RNAcentral. Lineage: Archaea; Methanobacteriati; Methanobacteriota; Methanomicrobia; Methanomicrobiales; Methanocalculaceae.
GGAUAAUCUGCCCUCAGGUGAGGAAUAAUCCCGGGAAACUGGGGCUAAUGCCUCAUAGGAGACGGGUGCUGGAAUGCUCUGUCUCCGAAAGGUCCGCCGCCUGAGGAUGAGUCCGCGUCCGAUUAGGUUGUUGUUGGGGUAACGGCCCAACAAGUCUUUGAUCGGUACGGGUUGUGGGAGCAAGAGCCCGGAGAUGGAUUCUGAGACAUGAAUCCAGGCCCUACGGGGCGCAGCAGGCGCGAAAACUUUACAAUGCGAGCAAUCGUGAUAAGGAAACCCUGAGUGCCUGUCAAUGCAGGCUGUUCUGGUGUCUAACACACACCAGGAGAAAGGGCGGGGCAAGACCGGUGCCAGCCGCCGCGGUAAUACCGGCUGCUCGAGUGAUAGCCACUUUUACUGGGCUUAAAGCGUUCGUAGCUUGGUCGUAAAGUCUCUGGGGAAAUCUUUUGGCUCAACCAAAAGGCGUCUCAGGGAAACUGACGAUCUUGGAACCGGGAGAGGUAAGACGUACUUCGGGGGUAGGAGUGAAAUCUUGUAAUCCCCGAGGGACGACCGAUGGCGAAGGCAUCUCACCAGAACGGCUUCGACAGUGAGGGACGAAAGCUGGGGGAGCAAACCGGAUUAGAUACCCGGGUAGUCCCAGCCGUAAACGAUGUGCGUUAGGUGUGUCAGUGACCACGAGUCGCUGAGGUGCCGAAGGGAAACCGUGAAACGCACCGCCUGGGAAGUACGGUCGCAAGGCUGAACUUAAAGGAAUUGGCGGGGGAGCACCACAACGGGUGGAGCCUGCGGUUUAAUUGGAUUCAACGCCGGACAACUCACCGGAUA